AGAUUCUGCUAGUAGCAGCUGAACAUUCUGGAAGAUUUAACACCCAGCAACAUAACCAACCUAUCAGGCGGCUUGCUCUUGCCUGAAGACACUGGCAAUGGAAUAGAACAAGAUGGAGCACGAAGAAAGGUUCUCUGUUUUAUUGCGUGCACCAAAUUAUCUUCUAAACAGAAGCACAUCUUAAGACUUCAGGCAACUUGUACAGAAAUCCAAGAGUGAAUACAGUAGCCCAUUGGAGAGCAUGAGUUUGAUGCGGUAUAUAUUGAAUUCUUCUGCAUGAUGCUCACAACACCCCUCUGAAGUGGCUUAUGUUGCAAUGGGACACCAGACUCAAAGUCACCCAGUGAGCUUCAUAGCUGAGCAGAGAUCUGAACUCGGGUCUCCCACACACUUUAUUUACUACACCACCAUGGAAUCUCUCCACUACAAGGUCCACAGAAAAGGAAGGACAUUCAGAACCAAUGCAGCCCAGUAGCUAGAGUGCUACAUCACUUUCAUAAAGACAUGGCCUAAAUUGGGGUUUUGAAUUUCUAGAGUCUAAAAUUCAAAUGUAAAAUCUACAUUGGGCAGAAUGUAAAUAUGAUGUUCUAAAUAGCCUUCUUCUACAUUCUAUCCUGUUUUAGCAACAUAUGCCUGUAUAUUUGCAGGUCAAGUGACAUGUUACAUAUUAAGUACAUGCUUAAUGUGAAUGUGUUUGUUUUAAACUAAAUAUCAACUGGAUUACCACCACCCGCCUGCCCCCCCCCCCACACGGACCAUGAUAUGUGUGUGGUGGGGGGGACUUUAACCCUAUCCCUGCCGCAGUCCCACUCUGGUUCUGCUCCUCUCCCAUUGGCACCAAUGCCCUAUUUGUCCCUGCCUCCUGUGUUAGUAUUUACCUUGCAAUAUCAACAUUAACCCUUUCAGCAGGUGCCUCUGUUGUGUUUUUGAAGCCCAGGGCCAUUUAGUGCCAUGGAUGUAUUUCUCCCAAACAAAUCUCAAACAAAUUAAAAGAUAAACCCUUCUAAUACA
This is a long non-coding RNA of Hemicordylus capensis (graceful crag lizard), 1011 nucleotides long. RefSeq lists it as uncharacterized. The transcript has 3 exons. Lineage: Eukaryota; Metazoa; Chordata; Lepidosauria; Squamata; Cordylidae. The record is from RefSeq and is a predicted model, not a curated record.